UUUUUAUUUGAAAAUAAAUGAAUAUGCAUCAGUAAAUAAAGUAACGUAAUCUGCGGACCUCGUCAGGUAUUUUUUAUUUUGUAUUAUUUUAAAAGUUUUGGAUGUAUCGCGGGCUGGAUAGAAUGACUCAACGGGCCGGAUCCGGCCCGGGGGCCUUAUCUUGCCCAGGUCUGCUUUAGACCAUACUUAACAUCUGGCAUGGACCUCAGUAGACAUUUAAGCUCAUAGUUUGCGGCCCGCUUCUUGGCAAUCUCAGGCGGAAAGUCCAGGAAGACGAACACAGUUUUGUCUCUAAACUUAAGCUGCCCACCACGGCUCGCUUUUUGCCAAAUAUCCUCCUUGACGACGUAUCGAUGGAAGCAAAUUACGAAGGCUCGCGGUCAGCUACCCUCCGCAGGUUUCGGUCCAAGUGUACGAUGUGCGCGAGCAAGGAGUGGAGGUUCAGAAAGAUCAAAUAUCUCCGCAAAGCAUCUGCCACGAACUUCGUAGGUUGUGGGCCUUCCAAACCUUCCGGAAUUCCCACCAAGCGAAGAUUGGAUCUGCCGGGAACGACACUCUAAAUCGAUGCACUUAGCUUACAGUGAGGCGACCUCUAUCUGGAGAGAAACGACCGUUGGCUCGAGAGAGUGAAAACUUGUCGUCCAUUCUGAGGUCGCUGUCUCCAGACCAGCAAUUCCUGAACUGAUGGGUUGUAGUCUGGGGACAAGAAGCCGGCUACAACCCACGCAAAGACCCCCAACGCCCCGUCCAGGAAACGCUUUUCUGUGGACCAGACCACAUUCCUACUUCUCCACAAGAAUUAACCAGUGGACCGAAGCCACUGUGGAUCCUGUGUUUCUGCCGAGCCAGCAGAGAAGAACAUUCCAGAGGGGCAACAUGGAGUCAAAGUGCUGAGGCAAGCUGAUGCUUCAUACUCUCAUAACACAUAUAAAUACACACUGUCACAACCACACAAACAACUUAAAACACAAACAAGAAUUCAUAAAACACAAACAAAAAUUCUCAGCUUUGUUUAUAUGUCAUUAUUCAGUAGCACUGCGAUGGGAAGAGGCUUCAGUUUAUAGGUAAAGGGGUGUGUACACGUUUGAUAGAGAUGGGCAUACUAGAUUCUACAGAUUAGAACGUUAAACCGGACUGGCACUCCAGAUGUACAUCAUGUACAUGUAUGAGUAGUAUUGCUUUACAUUUGAAAAUCUGGAAUAUUUAUAUAGAAAAUAUCCAAAACAAUAAAAACAGUUCACUUGUAAUUUUUACGAAACCACUUACUUCCCUACAAGCUACCCUCCCACCCAAGACCUGACCAUUUGGCACGAUAAUUAUAUUACUUUAUAUGUUGUUGUUUUUGUAAAUUUUUUCAUGUAAUUUGUAGACAUUUGAAUAGGAACCAUCACUCUCACAUUUAGUGUAACAUGUUUUUGUACAUAUAGGUACUGUAUAGGACAUAACAAUCAUCAUUUAAAAACAUUUCUUGUGAAAUAUCUUUUUUUUUCUUAUUAUUUUUUUCUUUUUCUACAUUUCUGAUAUGUAAAUUAAAUAAUUU
Long non-coding RNA from Esox lucius (northern pike), 1540 nucleotides. The record is from Ensembl. Lineage: Eukaryota; Metazoa; Chordata; Actinopteri; Esociformes; Esocidae.